RNAcentral lists this long non-coding RNA (297 nucleotides) under Salvia miltiorrhiza (redroot sage). RNAcentral's name for it is "long non-coding RNA (SMIL_LNC013988)". The record is from RNAcentral. Lineage: Eukaryota; Viridiplantae; Streptophyta; Magnoliopsida; Lamiales; Lamiaceae.
GGAGCGAGACUGAUCUCGUUGCCGAGCUUGAUGGGUGACUCUAAAAAAUGAGCUUGAUUCGAAGUGUCUAAUACCAGGUCUUCAGUAAAAAAAAUCUGAUUUUUUUUUUCAGUUUCAAUUUUAUUUUUUUCAAUUUUAGUUUCUAAUUUUUUUAUAUUUUGUUUUUGCCCAAUUUGUAAUUUUUAAUGUAAUUUUCUAUUUUAAUUAUUGUAAUUUUUAAAUUUAAAUUUAAUAAAAUUUUGGAUUUUAAAUUUCAAUUUUUAAAAAUUAGAUAAAAUACUUAUAGAGCCAUUUUAU